This 3471-nucleotide ribosomal RNA is filed under the name Drosophila persimilis. RNAcentral describes it as "eukaryotic LSU rRNA". The stretch from base 1 to 2754 matches the Rfam family "Eukaryotic large subunit ribosomal RNA". Lineage: Eukaryota; Metazoa; Arthropoda; Insecta; Diptera; Drosophilidae. The record is from RNAcentral.
UUAAGCAUAUUAAUUAGGGGAGGAAAAGAAACUAACCAGGAUUUUCUUAGUAGCGGCGAGCGAAAAGAAAUCAGUUCAGCACUAAGUCACUUUGUCUAUAUGGCAAACGUGAGAUGCAGUGUAUGGAGCGUCAAUAUUCUAGUAUGAGAAAUUAACGAUUUAAGUCCUUCUUAAAUGAGGCCAUUUACCCAUAGAGGGUGCCAGGCCCGUAUAACGUUAAUGAUUACUAGAUGAUGUUUCCAAAGAGUCGUGUUGCUUGAUAGUGCAGCACUAAGUGGGUGGUAAACUCCAUCUAAAACUAAAUAUAACCAUGAGACCGAUAGUAAACAAGUACCGUGAGGGAAAGUUGAAAAGAACUCUGAAUAGAGAGUUAAACAGUACGUGAAACUGCUUAGAGGUUAAGCCCGAUGAACCUGAAUAUCCGUUAUGGAAAAUUCAUCAUUAAAGUUGUAAUAUUUUAACAAUAUUAUAAUAAUAGUGUGCAUUUUUUCCAUAUAAGGACAUUGUAAUCUAUUAGCAUAUAACAAAUUUAUCAUAAUAUAUGAAUAUAGUUUAUUCAAAUUAUUAUGCUUGCAUUUUAACAUAGAAUAAAUGUCAUUAAUUUGAUAAAGUGUUGAUAAAUUAAAAUUAAUACAGUGCGUUAAUUUUUCGAAAUUAUAUAAUGGCAUAUUUAUCAUUGAUUUUUGUGUUUAUUAUAUGCAUUUGUAUGAUUAACAAUGCGAAAGAUUCAGGAUACCUUCGGGACCCGUCUUGAAACACGGACCAAGGAGUCUAACAUAUGUGCAAGUUAUUGGGAGAUAAACCUAAUAGCGUAAUUAACUUGACUAAUAAUGGGAUUAGUUUUUUAACUAUUUAUAGAUAAUUAACACAAUCCCGGGGCGUUCUAUAUAGUUAUGUAUAAUAAUAUUUAUAUUAUUUAUGCCUCUAACUGGAACGUACCUUGAGCAUAUAUGCUGUGACCCGAAAGAUGGUGAACUAUACUUGAUCAGGUUGAAGUCAGGGGAAACCCUGAUGGAAGACCGAAACAGUUCUGACGUGCAAAUCGAUUGUCAGAAUUGAGUAUAGGGGCGAAAGACCAAUCGAACCAUCUAGUAGCUGGUUCCUUCCGAAGUUUCCCUCAGGAUAGCUGGUGCAUUUUCAUGUUAUAUAAAAUAAUCUUAUCUGGUAAAGCGAAUGAUUAGAGGCCUUAGGGUCGAAAUGAUCUUAACCUAUUCUCAAACUUUAAAUGGGUAAGAACCUUAACUUUCUUGAUAUGAAGUUUAAGGUUAUGAUAUAAUGUGCCCAGUGGGCCACUUUUGGUAAGCAGAACUGGCGCUGUGGGAUGAACCAAACGUAAUGUUACGGUGCCCAAAUUAACAACUCAUGCAGAAACCAUGAAAGGCGUUGGUUGCUUAAAACAGCAGGACGGUGAUCAUGGAAGUCGAAAUCCGCUAAGGAGUGUGUAACAACUCACCUGCCGAAGCAACUAGCCCUUAAAAUGGAUGGCGCUUAAGUUGUAUAACUAUACAUUACCGCUAAAGUAGAUGAUUUAUAUUACUUGUGAUAUAAAUUUUGAAACUUUAGUGAGUAGGAAGGUACAAUGGUAUGCGUAGAAGUGUUUGGCGUAAGCCUUCAUGGAGCUGCCAUUGGCACAGAUCUUGGUGGUAGUAGCAAAUAAUCGAAUGAGACCUUGGAGGACUGAAGUGGAGAAGGGUUUCGUGUGAACAGUGGUUGAUCACGAGUUAGUCGCUCCUAAGUUCAAGGCGAAAGCCGAAAAUUUUCAAGUAAAAAAUCAGUGAGUAAUAUUGUCAAAUCUUUUAUGAUUUUUAAAUACUUGAAUAAUUUUGAACGAAAGGGAAUACGGUUCCAAUUCCGUAACCUGUUGAGUAUCCGUUUGUUAUUAAAUAUGGGCCUCGUGCUCAUCCUGGCAACAGGAACGACCAUAAAGAAGCCGUCGAGAGAUAUCGGAAGAGUUUUCUUUUCUGUUUUAUAGCCGUACUACCAUGGAAGUCUUUCGCAGAGAGAUAUGGUAGAUGGGCUAGAAGAGCAUGACAUAUACUGUUGUGUCGAUAUUUUCUCCUCGGACCUUGAAAAUUUAUGGUGGGGACACGCAAACUUCUCAACAGGCCGUACCAAUAUCCGCAGCUGGUCUCCAAGGUGAAGAGUCUCUAUUCGAUAGAAUAAUGUAGGUAAGGGAAGUCGGCAAAUUAGAUCCGUAACUUCGGGAUAAAGAUUGGCUCUGAAGAUUGAGAUAGUCGGGCUUGAUUGGGAAACAAUAACAUGGUUUAUGUGCUCGUUCUGGGUAAAUAGAGUUUCUAUCAUUUAUGGUAGUUACUUGUUCCCCGGAUAGUUUAGUUACGUAGCCAAUUGUGGAACUUUCUUGCUAAAAUUUUUAAGAAUACUAAUUGGGUUAAACCAGUUAGUUCUUAUUAAUUAUAACGAUUAUCAAUUAACAAUCAAUUCAGAACUGGCACGGACUUGGGGAAUCCGACUGUCUAAUUAAAACAAAGCAUUGUGAUGGCCCUAGCGGGUGUUGACACAAUGUGAUUUCUGCCCAGUGCUCUGAAUGUCAAAGUGAAGAAAUUCAAGUAAGCGCGGGUCAACGGCGGGAGUAACUAUGACUCUCUUUCGUCCAAUUACGGUACAAUCUGUUAUGGUAAGGAUUUUAAAUGCCAUUUUGGCUUACCGGUUGACCUCAUCAGUCGACUGGGAUCCGCGUCAGCGAGGUUUCCUUCCAACCGACGGAUGUGCCGAUAAUACGACGAUAGUCGACUUAAUCUUAAGGGAUCACCAUAAACGUUGUAAAUCAGUUUAUAUCGCAACUUUAGAUAUAAGCAAAGCAUUUGACUCGGUGUCUCAUGCAGCAGUUAGCGCCACUCUAACUGCAUAUGGUGCCCCUAAAGAAUUCGUUGACUACGUACAAAAUUCGUACGAGGUCUGUGGCACAACGCUCAAUGGGGACGGAUGGAGAUCAGAGGAAUUCAUACCUGCUCGAGGUGUCAGACAGGGUGACCCGCUAUCUCCCAUAAUAUUCAACUUGAUCAUCGAUCAGUUGCUUAGUUCCUACCCCAAUGAGAUUGGUGCCACAAUCGGAGAUCACACAACAAACGCGGCCGCGUUCGCAGAUGAUAUUGUCUUAUUUGCGGAAACUCGUUUAGGCCUUCAAACAAUGCUAGACACGACUGUCGAUUUUCUAUCUUCAGUCGGGCUUACCCUUAACUCAGAUAAAUGUUUUACAGUUGGAAUAAAGGGGCAACCGAAACAGAAGUGUACUGUGGUCAUCCCAGAGACCUUCCGUAUCGGUUCGCGCUCGUGUCCUGCAUUGAAGCGCACAGACGAGUGGAAGUAUUUAGGCAUAACAUUCACUGCACAAGGGAGGACCAGGUACAGUCCAGCCGACGACCUAGGUCCGAAGCUGUGGAGGCUGACAAGGUCCCCCCUAAAACCACAACAGAAAUUGUUCGCACUCAGAACAGUUCUUAUCCCACAACU